This 253-nucleotide ribosomal RNA is filed under the name uncultured bacterium. Its description in RNAcentral is "partial 16S ribosomal RNA". It matches the Rfam family "Bacterial small subunit ribosomal RNA", at positions 524 to 776 of the family's 1533-position model. The record is from RNAcentral.
UACAGAGGGUGCAAGCGUUAAUCGGAAUUACUGGGCGUAAAGCGUGCGUAGACGGUUAUGUAAGUCAGGUGUGAAAGCCCCGGGCUCAACCUGGGAAUGGCAUUUGAGACUGCAUAGCUAGGGUGCGGAAGAGGGAAGCGGAAUUUCCGGUGUAGCGGUGAAAUGCGUAGAUAUCGGGAGGAACACCAAUGGCGAAGGCAGCUCGCUGGGACGGUACUGACGCUGAGACGCGAAAGCGUGGGGAGCAAACAGG